GACGAACGCUGGCGGCGUGCUUAACACAUGCAAGUCGUACGGUAAGGCCCUUUCGGGGGUACACGAGUGGCGAACGGGUGAGUAACACGUGAGUAACCUGCCCACCACUUUGGGAUAACGCUAGGAAACUGGUGCUAAUACUGGAUAUGUGCUCCUGCUGCAUGGAGGGGGUUGGAAAGCUCCGGCGGUUGUGGAUGGACUCGCGGCCUAUCAGCUUGUUGGUGGGGUAGUGGCCUACCAAGGCGGCGGCGGGUAGCCGGCCUGAGAGGGUGACCGGCCACAUUGGGACUUAGGUACGGCCCAGGCUCCUACGGGAGGCAGCAGGGGGGAAUAUUGCACCAUGGGCGCAAGCCUGAUGCAGCAGCGCCGCGUGCGGGAUGACGGCCUUCGGGUUGUAAACCGCUUUCAGCAGGGACGAAGCUUUUUGUGACGGUACCUGCAGAAGAAGCACCGGCUAACUACGUG
Molecule: ribosomal RNA, 465 nt
Filed under: uncultured bacterium
Lineage: Bacteria
Description: partial 16S ribosomal RNA
Rfam family: Bacterial small subunit ribosomal RNA
Source: RNAcentral